AGCAGCCGCGGUAAUUCCAGCUCCAAUAGCGUAUAUUAAAGUUGUUGCAGUUAAAAAGCUCGUAGUUGAAUUUCGGGAUCAAGGAAUCGGUCAUGCCUCGGUAUGUACUGGUUUUAUUGGUUCUCACCUUCUAAAGAACCAUGAUGUCAUUCAUUUGAUGUUAUGGGGAAUUAGGACUGUUACCUUGAAAAAUUAGAGUGUUUAAAGCAGGCUUACGCUUGAAUACAUUAGCAUGGAAUAAUGAAAUAGGACAUCAGAUUCUAUUUUGUUGGUUUCUAGGAUCGAUGUAAUGAUUAAUAGGGAUAGUUGGGGGCAUUAGUAUUCAAUUGUCAGAGGUGAAAUUCUUGGAUUUAUUGAAGACUAACUACUGCGAAAGCAUUUGCCAAGGAUGUUUUCAUUAAUCAAGAACGAAAGUUAGGGGAUCGAAGACGAUCAGAUACCGUCGUAGUCUUAACCA
This 457-nucleotide ribosomal RNA is filed under the name uncultured Glomus. Its description in RNAcentral is "SSU rRNA". It matches the Rfam family "Eukaryotic small subunit ribosomal RNA", at positions 569 to 1032 of the family's 1831-position model. Lineage: Eukaryota; Fungi; Glomeromycota; Glomeromycetes; Glomerales; Glomeraceae. The record is from RNAcentral.